Molecule: ribosomal RNA, 253 nt
Filed under: uncultured bacterium
Lineage: Bacteria
Description: partial 16S ribosomal RNA
Rfam family: Bacterial small subunit ribosomal RNA
Source: RNAcentral
UACGGGGGGGGCAAGCGUUGUUCGGAAUUACUGGGCGUAAAGGGCUCGUAGGCGGCCAACUAAGUCAGACGUGAAAUCCCUCGGCUUAACCGGGGAACUGCGUCUGAUACUGGAUGGCUUGAGAUUGGGAGAGGGAUGCGGAAUUCCUGGUGUAGCGGUGAAAUGCGCAGAUAUCAGGAGGAACACCGGUGGCGAAGGCGGGUCUCUGGGCCGAUACUGACGCUGAGGAGCGAAAGCGUGGGGAGCGAACAGG